Molecule: ribosomal RNA, 197 nt
Filed under: Planococcus glaciei
Lineage: Bacteria; Bacillati; Bacillota; Bacilli; Caryophanales; Caryophanaceae
Description: Planomicrobium glaciei 16S rRNA. Bacterial SSU
Rfam family: Bacterial small subunit ribosomal RNA
Source: RNAcentral
CUAUAAUGGAGAGUUUGAUCCUGGCUCAGGACGAACGCUGGCGGCGUGCCUAAUACAUGCAAGUCGAGCGGAAGUUGAAGAGCUUGCUCUUCAACUUUAGCGGCGGACGGGUGAGUAACACGUGGGCAACCUGCCCUGCAGAUCGGGAUAACUCCGGGAAACCGGUGCUAAUACCGAAUAGUUUUGGGUCCCUCCUG